Molecule: unclassified non-coding RNA, 367 nt
Filed under: fungal sp.
Lineage: Eukaryota; Fungi
Description: partial internal transcribed spacer region
Rfam family: Eukaryotic small subunit ribosomal RNA (bases 1-46)
Source: RNAcentral
AAGUCGUAACAAGGUUUCCGUAGGUGAACCUGCGGAAGGAUCAUUAAAGGAAAUAUAUAUUAUAUCCUAUACACCAUAUGUGCAUUAGUAUUGUGUAAAAUUUUUUUUUUCUUUGGUAAAAAAAAAAGGGUUUUUUCUUUUAUUAUUUCAUCAUCUUCGGUGGGACUCUGGCCCAUUGUUUUGGGCCAAAAAGCUUUUCUCACUAAAAAGGAAGAGGGAAUAAUAAAAAAAAAAUUUCUUUUUUUACCAAGGGAGGAAAAAAUAAAAAUUUAAUUCACUCGAAUCAAAAAAUUUUACUUGGCCUGAAAAACUUUAUUGAGAAAAUAAUUAUAAAAUACAACUUUCAACAACGGAUCUCUUGGCUCUC